RNAcentral lists this ribosomal RNA (454 nucleotides) under uncultured bacterium. Its description in RNAcentral is "partial 16S ribosomal RNA". It matches the Rfam family "Bacterial small subunit ribosomal RNA", at positions 28 to 507 of the family's 1533-position model. The record is from RNAcentral.
GAUGAACGCUGACAGAAUGCUUAACACAUGCAAGUCCACUUGAACUUCGGUUUGUGUGGCGGACGGGUGAGUAACGCGUAAAGAACUUGCCUCACAGAUAGGGACAACAUUUGGAAACGAAUGCUAAUACCUGAUAUUAUGAUUAUAUGGCAUCGUAUAAUUAUGAAAGCUAUAUGCGCUGUGAGAGAGCUUUGCGUCCCAUUAGCUAGUUGGAGAGGUAACGGCUCACCAAGGCGAUGAUGGGUAGCCGGCCUGAGAGGGUGAUCGGCCACAAGGGGCCUGAGACACGGCCCUGACUCAUUCGGGAGGCAGCAGUGGGGAAUAUUGGACAAUGGACCAAGAGUGUGAUCCAGGAAUUCUGUGUGCACGAUGAAGUUUUUCGGAAUGUAAAGUGCUUUCAGUUGGGAAGAAAAAAAUGACGGUACCAACAGAAGAAGUGACGGCUAAAUACGUG